This 663-nucleotide long non-coding RNA is filed under the name Numida meleagris (helmeted guineafowl). Its description in RNAcentral is "lncRNA (ENSNMEG00000012801.1)". The record is from RNAcentral. Lineage: Eukaryota; Metazoa; Chordata; Aves; Galliformes; Numididae.
UCUCUGGGGGUGUGUGAGGAUUGGUGAGCAAAUGCAUUCCAGCUGGUGGGCUGGGACAUCUGCGUGUAUCAAACUGUUGGAAACAUCCAUCCAUAAUGCUGCCAAAUGCUAUUUUGUUGUAUCAGAAACAGGGUGCUAACACAGACAGGAAUCGUCACUUCCCCGUAUACUUCUGGUAGCCUUUCCCAUGUGCAAGCAUUAGUUUAGGUAAUUACUAAGUCUGGUCCUGACAUCUCUGACUCCAUUUUGACUGGAAGGAGGAGCAAAGACAACCAGAAAGAAGAUGCAGCAAAACAGAGGGUCACCUCGUGGAACAAGGGAUUCCGAGCGAGUGCACGAAUAACAGCACGUGGCUGAAGGAGAGGUGACAGGCAAGUCCCCUGCAUGAGAAGUUCUGCAGAAUUAGUGGGCUGGAAUGGCAAAAGAAAUCAUGUACCAAAGUUCUCUCCACUGGACAGAAGGAACAUCAUGGUCUUCAUAAGAGAUCGCCACGCAGACAUGAUGCUCAUUAUCUGUGCAGGAGGUCGCCUUUGCGUGCUGGAGGAAAACACUGGUGGAUUCAACACUUCAUCUUUUUGCAGAGGCCAAGACUCUGACACUUGGAAAGAUGAAAGUCGUCAACUCUCAGCUGGUGUUUCAUCCAAGGGGAAAGGCCUGUGUUGA